Molecule: long non-coding RNA, 389 nt
Filed under: Phascolarctos cinereus (koala)
Lineage: Eukaryota; Metazoa; Chordata; Mammalia; Diprotodontia; Phascolarctidae
Description: lncRNA (ENSPCIG00000000169.2)
Source: RNAcentral
UUAGGAUACAGACCUAGGACUAAGGAUCUUGAAAGUAGAAUGGACCUCCAGAGAUCAUGAGGUUUAGUCAUCUGCUUUCAGACUUAUGAAGAAUUAGGACCCUUCUAAGCCUUGCUGCCAAAAUUCCUUAGAAUUCACAGUCUUCCAUACUCUGCCCACACCUCAGCUUCCAUGCAGAAACAGCAUUCAGACAUCAAGCAGCACUGGCUGGGCGGCAGACGUUUCUUUGGACUUAUCAGGUUUGGAGGCCAGGAUACCCUGUGAUGUGGAUAGAUCACGUUGAAUUGACAGUGCAAUCCAAAUCAUGGGUUCAAGCUCCAAAUAGGUUGGUUUCACUAAGAUAAGGUUAAUUUUCUUCCAAAUCGUAGUAUACACUUCCACAAAAAAAA